RNAcentral lists this small RNA (139 nucleotides) under Chrysemys picta bellii (western painted turtle). RNAcentral describes it as "TUC338 (ENSCPBG00000001436.1)". The record is from RNAcentral. Lineage: Eukaryota; Metazoa; Chordata; Testudines; Emydidae.
CUGACAGCCCUGGAGAGUGAAGGCCUCUCUCUGUCCGCAAAGGCACUGCAGGGCCAGCUUCCCUCACAACCUGCCUCAGCCCUGCUCUGUAGCAGUAAGAGGAAUUCAGUCUCCAUGGCCCAUCCAGUCCUUUGCCUUG